AAACAUUACUACGUCCAGAAAUCGGAAACAUAAAUUGAAAAUAAUACAUUUCAUACAUUUUCCGGGUUUUCUACAUUGUUCCCGGUUUUUUCCAACUAUUAUGAAAACCGCUUGAAAAAUCAAAAAAAAAAAAUCAAAAAAUAACCUCCCUAAAGUAUCGAGUAAAUAAAAUUUCCAUUCAGAAAAGACUACGCUACGCUUGAUGUAUCGGAUGCAAGAUUUCCGGUAGAAAAG
Molecule: non-coding RNA, 234 nt
Organism: Cinara cedri
Lineage: Eukaryota; Metazoa; Arthropoda; Insecta; Hemiptera; Aphididae
Source: the annotation of a GenBank genome assembly